RNAcentral lists this long non-coding RNA (229 nucleotides) under Homo sapiens (human). Its description in RNAcentral is "non-protein coding lnc-GGT1-5:1". Lineage: Eukaryota; Metazoa; Chordata; Mammalia; Primates; Hominidae. The record is from RNAcentral.
AUGCCCAAGUGCCCCGCGUGCGACAAGGUGUACUUCGCCGAGAGGGUGACCUCUCUAGGCAAGGACUGGCAUCGGCCCUGCCUGAAGUGUGAGAAAUGUGGGAAGACGCUGACUUCCGGGGGCCACGCUGAGCAUGAAGGCAAACCCUACGGCAACCACCCCUGCUACGCCGCCAUGUUUGGGCCUAAAGGCUUUGGGCGGGGUGGACCCGAGAGCCACACUUUCAAGU